Molecule: long non-coding RNA, 893 nt
Organism: Vespula vulgaris
Lineage: Eukaryota; Metazoa; Arthropoda; Insecta; Hymenoptera; Vespidae
Exons: 3
Source: RefSeq, a predicted model, not a curated record
UAAUCGAUUGCGUUGGGAAAGGUUUUUCGAAGGAACGUCCAACGGUUCAUACGGAUCAUGGGUCAAAGUUGAAUUUUUGCUCUAAUGCGGGAACGUUCCUUCGUAGAAAAGUAAGUUUCCUCGCCGAUUCUCUUUGGAUUCUAUUUUUUUGCAACUUCAGAAGGAUUCAAUGCAGUCGGGAAGGGAACGAUAAGGAAAACCUUAGGGCGAUUAAUAGUGAUUCCGAAAAAGAUGUUCUGCGAAUCAUUAUUGAAGAAGAAGAAGAGGAUGAAGAUGAAGAAGAAGGAGAUACAGGGGAUGAAGUAGUAGAGGAGAUAUACUAAACCAACCGAAGACGAAAACAGUUCCGAUAGCCUGGAGGUAUUGCAAAGGAGCCGAAUUGAUUUAUAUUUGAAUUGUAAUUCCAAAAAAGAUAAAAAAAUUUCAACAACGCUCCACCAGAUAAUAUAACAUUGCACAUCCAAAGUGAAAAGCAAUCACAUUGAUUCUAUCUAUUCUUACGUACAUACGACGAUACGAUUGUACAACAUGGAUAGUACAAAUGCCAGAAAAACAAUAAGAUUACUAUAUGAACACAUUUUCCUUUUUAAAAUUGCUUAUAAAUGGAAAAACAAUCAACGCUGUGUUUAUUUAAUGAUAAGAUAUUUUAGAGAUAUGAUAAAUUUUUUAUUCUAAAAUGUAAUGUCGAAUAUAAAGUCUAUAACAUAUUUAUUUAUUUUAUAAUAAUUUAUUGAAUAUUUUCGUAGAUUAUAUGCAGUCGAAGAAAGUAUUAUUAUUUAUAAGUGAAUUUAUCUCAUAUAUUCUAAAUGGUACGAAUCCCAAAUGGGAGUAAUUAUCCGAUAAGUACUAUAAUAUGGAAAUGAAAUCUUUUAAUAAAUCUUAUACAAAUAUAA